ACACACGUACUACAAUGGCCGGUACAAAGGGCAGCGACAUCGCGAGGUGGAGCGAAUCUCGUAAAGCCGGUCUCAGUCCGGAUUGGAGUCUGCAACUCGACUCCAUGAAGUUGGAAUCGCUAGUAAUCGUGGAUCAGCAUGCCACGGUGAAUACGUUCCCGGGCCUUGUACACACCGCCCGUCACACCACGGGAGUUGGUUGUACCAGAAGCAGUUGAGCUAACUAUUCGUAGAAGCAGGCUGCCAAGGUAUGAUUGGUAACUGGGGUG
Molecule: ribosomal RNA, 269 nt
Filed under: uncultured bacterium
Lineage: Bacteria
Description: partial 16S ribosomal RNA
Rfam family: Bacterial small subunit ribosomal RNA
Source: RNAcentral